UACGGGGGGAGCAAGCGUUGUUCGGAUUUACUGGGCGUAAAGGGCGCGUAGGCGGUCGUGACAAGUCACUUGUGAAAUCUCCGGGCUUAACUCGGAACGGUCAAGUGAUACUGUCGGACUAGAGUACAGAAGGGGCAACUGGAAUUCUCGGUGUAGCGGUGAAAUGCGUAGAUAUCGAGAGGAACACCUGCGGCGAAGGCGGGUUGCUGGGCUGAUACUGACGCUGAGGCGCGAAAGCCAGGGGAGCGAAUGGG
This 254-nucleotide ribosomal RNA is filed under the name uncultured bacterium. RNAcentral describes it as "partial 16S ribosomal RNA". It matches the Rfam family "Bacterial small subunit ribosomal RNA", at positions 524 to 776 of the family's 1533-position model. The record is from RNAcentral.